AGCGAACGCUGGCGGCAGGCCUAACACAUGCAAGUCGAACGAACCUUUCGGGGUUAGUGGCGGACGGGUGAGUAACACGUGGGAACGUGCCUUUAGGUUCGGAAUAACUCAGGGAAACGUGUGCUAAUACCGAAUGUGCCCUUCGGGGGAAAGAUUUAUCGCCUUUAGAGCGGCCCGCGUCUGAUUAGCUAGUUGGUUGAGGUAAUGGCUCACCAAGGCGACGAUCAGUAGCUGGUCUGAGAGGAUGAUCAGCCACAUUGGGACUGAGACACGGCCCAAACUCCUACGGGAGGCAGCAGUGGGUAAUCUUGCGCAAUGGGCGAAAGCCUGACGCAGCCAUGCCGCGUGAAUGAUGAAGGUCUUAGGAUUGUAAAAUUCUUUCACCGGGGACGUUAAUGACGGUACCCGGAGAAGAAGCCCCGGCUAACUUCGUG
Molecule: ribosomal RNA, 434 nt
Filed under: uncultured bacterium
Lineage: Bacteria
Description: partial 16S ribosomal RNA
Rfam family: Bacterial small subunit ribosomal RNA
Source: RNAcentral